This 468-nucleotide ribosomal RNA is filed under the name uncultured bacterium. RNAcentral describes it as "partial 16S ribosomal RNA". It matches the Rfam family "Bacterial small subunit ribosomal RNA", at positions 28 to 507 of the family's 1533-position model. The record is from RNAcentral.
GACGAACGCUGGCGGCGUGCUUAACACAUGCAAGUCGAACGGAAAGGCCCUGCUUUUGUGGGGUGCUCGAGUGGCGAACGGGUGAGUAACACGUGAGUAACCUGCCCUUGACUUUGGGAUAACUUCAGGAAACUGGGGCUAAUACCGGAUAGGAGCUCCUGCUGCAUGGUGUGGGUUGGAAAGUUUCGGCGGUUGGGGAUGGACUCGCGGCUUAUCAGCUUGUUGGUGGGGUAGUGGCUUACCAAGGCUUUGACGGGUAGCCGGCCUGAGAGGGUUACCGGCCACAUUGGGACUAAGGUACGGCCCAGACUCCUACGGGAGGCAGCAGUGGGGAAUAUUGCAGAAUGGGCGGAAGCCUGAUGCAGCAACGCCGCGUGCGGGAUGACGGCCUUCGGGUUGUAAACCGCUUUCGCAGGUGACGAAGCGUGAGUGACGGUAAUGGGUAAAAAAGCACCGGCUAACUACGUG